UACAGAGGUGGCAAGCGUUGUUCGGAAUUACUGGGCGUAAAGGGCGCGUAGGCGGUUCGUCAAGUCCUGUGUGAAAUCCCCCGGCUCAACUGGGGAACUGCACAGGAAACUAGCGGGCUUGAGUUCGGGAGAGGGAAGCGGAAUUCCGGGUGUAGCGGUGAAAUGCGUAGAUAUCCGGAGGAACACCGGUGGCGAAGGCGGCUUCCUGGACCGACACUGACGCUGAGGCGCGAAAGCUAGGGGAGCAAACGGGG
Molecule: ribosomal RNA, 254 nt
Filed under: uncultured bacterium
Lineage: Bacteria
Description: partial 16S ribosomal RNA
Rfam family: Bacterial small subunit ribosomal RNA
Source: RNAcentral